AAAAUGACUCUCGACAACUGAUAUCUCGGCUCUCGCAUCGAUGAAGAACGUAGUGAAAUGUGAUACUUGGUGUGAAUUACAAAAUCUCGUGAACCAUCGAGUUUUUGAAUGCAAGUUACACCCAAAACUAUUAGCCUAAGGGCACGUCUACCUGGGCAUCACGCAUCACGUCGCCCC
RNAcentral lists this ribosomal RNA (177 nucleotides) under Ilex canariensis. RNAcentral's name for it is "5.8S ribosomal RNA". The stretch from base 6 to 161 matches the Rfam family "5.8S ribosomal RNA". Rfam says of the family: 5.8S ribosomal RNA (5.8S rRNA) is a component of the large subunit of the eukaryotic ribosome. Lineage: Eukaryota; Viridiplantae; Streptophyta; Magnoliopsida; Aquifoliales; Aquifoliaceae. The record is from RNAcentral.